This is a long non-coding RNA of Eptesicus fuscus (big brown bat), 399 nucleotides long. RefSeq lists it as uncharacterized. The transcript has 3 exons. Lineage: Eukaryota; Metazoa; Chordata; Mammalia; Chiroptera; Vespertilionidae. The record is from RefSeq and is a predicted model, not a curated record.
AUGAAGCUUACUACAAAGGAAGAAGAAAAUUCAGAAUAACCAGGAUGAGGGCCAGAGGACAAAGUUUGGAAAAGUUCUUUAGUCAAAACAGACUUCUCAGGGCACAACCAAAUGCCCUAGGCGCCAGGACAGGGACCACAAAUCCCUUCAUUGUGAUGGUUUUCAUGUUCACAUUCCUGUACCCACCUAAGGAAACAAAAAAGUAGGGAAAUGCCAGAGCUGAAACAAAAGCAGGCUUACCGUGGGCCAUCUUGCAGCUGUUACCAUGGCCUUGUGCAAAGGAACCGGUAGACAGCACUCCCCAUCCUCACGACUGUGGACCCUUUCUGGGAAGAGCCUUUCCCUGAGGCCCAAGUGAUAAGAAGACAGAUCGCCUGGGUCCUAUGGCCUGAACUUCCC